Molecule: ribosomal RNA, 664 nt
Filed under: uncultured Actinomycetales bacterium
Lineage: Bacteria; Bacillati; Actinomycetota; Actinomycetes; Actinomycetales
Description: bacterial SSU rRNA
Rfam family: Bacterial small subunit ribosomal RNA
Source: RNAcentral
GCAAGUCGAACGGAAAGGCCCUGCUUGCAGGGUACUCGAGUGGCGAACGGGUGAGUAACACGUGGGUGAUCUGCCCUGCACUUCGGGAUAAGCCUGGGAAACUGGGUCUAAUACCGGAUAGGAGCCAUUUUUAGUGUGAUGGUUGGAAAGUUUUUUCGGUGUAGGAUGAGCUCGCGGCCUAUCAGCUUGUUGGUGGGGUAAUGGCCUACCAAGGCGGCGACGGGUAGCCGGCCUGGGAGGGUGGACGGCCACAUUGGGACUGAGAUACGGCCCAGACUCCUACGGGAGGCAGCAGUGGGGAAUAUUGCACAAUGGGCGCAAGCCUGAUGCAGCGACGCCGCGUGGGGGAUGACGGCCUUCGGGUUGCAAACUCCUUUCGCUAGGGACGAAGCUUUUUGUGACGGUACCUAGAUAAGAAGCACCGGCUAACUACGUGCCAGCAGCCGCGGUAAUACGUAGGGUGCGAGCGUUGUCCGGAAUUACUGGGCGUAAAGGGCUCGUAGGUGGUUUGUCGCGUCGUCUGUGAAAUUCCGGGGCUUAACUCCGGGCGUGCAGGCGAUACGGGCAUAACUUGAGUACUGUAGGGGUAACUGGAAUUCCUGGUGUAGCGGUGAAAUGCGCAGAUAUCAGGAGGAACACCGAUGGCGAAGGCAGGUUACUGGGC